CCCUAACUCUACCCCUCACAGAAAACCUUCUGCAUUGUUACAAUUAAAAAAAUAAUAAUCUUUGUUUACUUAAUUUUUAUACCAAUUUUAUAAAUGAGGACAUCCCCAAAGGGAGGAUUUUGGAGAUUUUGUCAGGUUUAGCUCACUUUUGGUUACAAAUUUGUCCUCCAAAUAUGGUUAAGUAGGUACACACACACAUAUGCACGCAAAUAGUAUUUAGAGCUAACAAGGUAACCACACCACACCGUAUUAUAUUGAUAUCAUACUGAUGAAUUAAAUUAAAGUUCUUUGUUUUUAGUUACCAACGUUUCCACCCAGCUGUACAGUGAAAACAGUCAAAGGAUUGCUGUCUGUAAUUCCAUAUUUAAACAGAAAGCACCCACUCUUCAUUGGGAAUCUGCCAUAAACUUUUCCUCCAAUAUCAGCUCUGUUGAGAAGCUUGGCAGGUUUUUUAUUAUGGAGAAUCGAGUAUAUCUGCCUGCUGAUGUCAACAAUAGUGAGCUCACCUGUGUGGCCACAUACACCUCUGAGUCUGGCUUUGUUCAGCAGAAGAGCACACUUCAUCUCACAACAGGUGUAUUAAACCAAAUGCAAUCCCCAUUUCCAUGGGAAAUUAUGGCCAUAUCAAUUGGUUCUGUUUGUUUUAUUCUUGUAUCUCUGGCCGUGGUUUACACACUACGCAGAAAGCUCAGCGACUUGAGUGCACUGAAGAUGCUUUGCUGCAAAUCCAAAAUCUCAACACCAGCUGAAGACAAACCAUCCCAGCCUGCUGAUGUUGAAGAGGUGGAACCCUAUGCAAGUUACAUACAGAGAGUCAACUCCAUCUACAACUCCUCAGCUGAACUCUUCAACGCCUGAGAGACACUCGCUUUUUAUGAUGAAACAGGAUACCAGAAGAGAGCUGAGGGCAAAGAUAUGUCUGUGGUCAAAAUUACACAUGAAAAACAAUACUAGUGGAAAAAUAGUCAUCUCAAGAGAGCAUCCCCGAAGCAAACAGCGCCUGAAUGAUGAGCAAAAGUCACACUGACUCAAAAGAUGAAAGGUGAUGACAAAGGACCAUUUCUCUUAUAUGUGAUGAGGAAUAACUGGGACAACUUCAGCGUCAGCGAUAUCACUAAUAUGUAGAUUUGUAGAAAAUGAGCCUGGUUAGAUAUUAAUCAUCUAAACUAAUCAAAUUUGUACAUAAUUAUUUAUAUCAGAGUGUUAAAAGAAACAAAAAUCAGCCGCAAACUGUGUUUUCCUUGAUAAAUACUAACCAGGCCAAAUGUAGAGAACCUAUUUUACAUUGCAC
This 1291-nucleotide long non-coding RNA is filed under the name Sinocyclocheilus grahami. RNAcentral describes it as "lncRNA (ENSSGRG00000055331.1)". The record is from RNAcentral. Lineage: Eukaryota; Metazoa; Chordata; Actinopteri; Cypriniformes; Cyprinidae.